RNAcentral lists this ribosomal RNA (468 nucleotides) under uncultured bacterium. RNAcentral's name for it is "partial 16S ribosomal RNA". It matches the Rfam family "Bacterial small subunit ribosomal RNA", at positions 28 to 507 of the family's 1533-position model. The record is from RNAcentral.
GACGAACGCUGGCGGCGUGCUUAACACAUGCGAGUCGAACGGAAAGGCCCUGCUUUUGUGGGGCGCUCGAGUGGCGAACGGGUGAGUAACACGUGAGUAACCUGCCCCUGACUUUGGGAUAACUUCAGGAAACUGGGGCUAAUACCGGAUAGGAGCUCCUGCUGCAUGGUGGGGGUUGGAAAGUUUCGGCGGUUGGGGAUGGACUCGCGGCUUAUCAGCUUGUUGGUGGGGUAGUGGCUUACCAAGGCUUUGACGGGUAGCCGGCCUGGGGGGGUGACCGGCCACAUUGGUACUGAGAUACGGCCCGGACUCCUACGGGAGGCAGCAGUGGGGAAUAUUGCACAAUGGGCGGAAGCCUGAUGCAGCAACGCCGCGUGCGGAAUGACGGCCUUCGGGUUGUAAACCGCUUUCGCCUGUGACGAAGCGUGAGUGACGGUAAUGGGUAAAGAAGCACCGGCUAACUACGUG